UAGGCCCUGCAAUCCCCUUCCCUCUUCUCAGAACCCACCGUAGAAACAAGCACCCUCCGCGCCGCCGGCCGCCGGCCGCCGUGUCCGUUUCAGUCUCCGAAUCCCUCAUCCCCCGUUGCCUCGCGUUCCCAAGCCACAUGAUAUCCCCCAACCUCCCCCUCCGGCUCCGCCACCUCCGCUGCCUUCUCGCCGCGGCGCCCUUGUCCUCCCCCGCCGCCGCAUACUACUCGCGCGCAUCCUCCCCACCUUCAAACCGCGCUCAGGCCCUGCCCCCGCCCCCGCCACCGCGGCGCCAUCUCCCGGACCUCCCGGCGCGACGGUUCUCCUCCGGGCACGUCCUCCUCCCCACCAACCUCCAGGAGGAGCACGUCGCGUCUCUGUCCGACAGGAUCUACCACGCGGUGACAGAGACAGAGGAGGGCUCCAACGAGGGCACGGAGGCCGCCCUCGACGCGCUGGGCGCCGAGCUGACCACCCCGCUCGUGGCCGACGUGAUGCACCGCCUGCGCUACGAGGAGAAGCUGGCCUUCCGCUUCUUCGCCUGGGCGUCCCAGCAGGACAACUACGAGCACGAGCACCGCACGUACAACGACAUGAUCGACAUCCUCUCCGGGACGCGGUACAAGUCCCGCCAGUUCGGCGUCCUCUGCGACGUGCUCGACCACAUGAAGCGCCACGGCACGAGGUCGGUGCCGGUCGAGGACCUGCUGGGCAUCCUGCGCGCCUACACCGAGAAGCACCUCACCAACCUUAGGAAGCUGGCGAAGAAGCGGCGGGUGCGGAUGCGCACGCCGCCGGAGACCGACGCGCUCAACAUCCUCCUGGACGCGUUUUGCAAGUGCGGGAUGGUCAGGGAGGCGGAGACGGUGUUUGGUCGCGUGAAGAAGAAGCUGCAAGGAAAUGCCGAGACCUACAGCAUCCUCUUCUUUGGGUGGUGCCGCGCCAGGGACCCCAAGAAGGCCAUGAAGGUGCUCGAGGAAAUGGUUGAGAUGAAGCACACCCCAGAGAACUUCACGUACAUUGCUGCUAUUGACUCGUUCUGCAGCGCUGGUUUGAUCUCGGAGGCAAGAGAGUUGUUUGAGUUCAUGAGGACCGAGGGAUCGAAGAUAUCCUCUCCCACUGCUAAGGUAUAUGCUAUUAUGAUUGUUGCGCUAGCCAAAGCUGAUCGGAUGGAUGAGUGCUUUGAGCUGAUUUCAGAUAUGAUUAAACGAGGCUGCAUGCCUGAUGUAUCAACCUUUAAAGAUUUGAUUGAAGGCAUGUGCUUGGUGGAUAGACUCGAUGCUGCCUACUGCAUUUUGGAGGAGAUGGGGAAGGCUGGGUUUCCUCCUGACAUUGUCACUUACAAUUGCUUUCUUGAGGUACUUUGUCGUCUUCAGAAGGCUGAUGAUGCGCUCAAACUCGCCGAGAGGAUGAUAGAAGCACACUGUGAGCCCAGUGUUCAUACUUACAAUAUGCUGAUGGUGAUGUUUUUUGAGAUGAGAGAGCCACACAGGGCACUCAAUAUUUGGACUGAAAUGGACAAGAGAGGAUGUCGACGUGCUGUUGAUACCUACGAAAUAAUGAUUGAUGGGCUGUUUGAUUGUGGAAGAACGGAAGAUGCAACCACUCUUCUAGAUGAAGUAAUAAACCAUGAUAUGAAACUGUCGUACAAGAAGUUCGAUUCUAUCAUGCUGCAAUUGUCAGCUGUUGGCAACCUUGGCGCAAUACAUCGGCUUUCAGAGCAUAUGAGAAAAUUUUACAAUGUUGCAAUGUCAAGACGUUUUUCGAUCACACAGAAGAAGAAGAGCAUUGGUAUUAGAAGGAGAUGAGUUCUGCAAGAUUUAUUGUUAGCACGAAUAGUCAAGAGCGUACAUGAGGGUGGUUGAUACAAGUGUGCACAUUUUGUCGGAGCAAUAUGCAGUGGAAGCAGCGUAUGAACCGAAGUACUUUGCCAAGGAAACAGGCAAUGUGGCAGCCAGUGUUGUUAAGAACAGAGUGGGCAAAAUUUCGUGGCCGGGCUUGGCUUCCUAGCCCCAUACCAACUGUGCUGUGUGACCUGUGAGCAACUACUAGUCAGCUAGGCGCAGGACAGCAUAGGCGCAUAGCAUGGAAUAGCUGCAUGUUGAGAACCUGGAAUAUAAUGACGCAGAAGAAAUUUUGGGACUGAGAGCCUGGGAUACCAUCGUGCUGCAGUGCAAGCAAAUUAUCUGAACUCGUGGUGCCAUGCCAUGCCAUGGCCCGUCCUCCAACGAGGUGGGUAUGCUAAGUUUUCAUGAGUUCCGAGGUAGAAAGACGGCUGGUUCUGACGGAAAAGAAACCUUUGUCAAGUGAUUUCGGUUUCCAUCUCAUCAUUUUUUAUUUUUUAUCUUGAGAUCAAGUUUUCAUCUCAUCAGAGCCGACCCUUGGGCAGGGCGAGAAGGGUGUGGCUCACGCCCAAAUUGAGGCCAGUUAUUUCAACAUAGGCCCAUUCUGUUCCUUACAUACAACUAACAGAAAAACAAAACAUCCAAGAAACCCUGGUCUAUUAUUGUGGAGACAUGGAACCACAAGAUGAGAUGGGUACCGUGAUUUCCUGAAAUUGGAUGAACGGUACCAGCUGUUACUUAGGAAUUCACCCUUUUUAGGGACCUUUUCUCUGUCCUUGUUGGACCCAAGCACAAUACUUGUAAUUGUAGCAUUUUUAAGAAACCCCUUUCAGUUAAAAUUAGCAUAAAGCUACUUGAGCCGGUCAGAACAUAGAUUGGAUCUGAUGAACGUGUUUAUAUUCAGCAAAAUAUUUCAUA
Molecule: RNA transcript, 2762 nt
Organism: Triticum aestivum (bread wheat)
Lineage: Eukaryota; Viridiplantae; Streptophyta; Magnoliopsida; Poales; Poaceae
Gene name: pentatricopeptide repeat-containing protein At1g73400, mitochondrial
Exons: 3
Source: RefSeq, a predicted model, not a curated record